This is an RNA transcript of Diospyros lotus (date-plum), 2753 nucleotides long. It is a transcript of the gene named nicotinamide/nicotinic acid mononucleotide adenylyltransferase, with no coding region annotated. The transcript has 13 exons. NCBI's taxonomy places the organism in Eukaryota, Viridiplantae, Streptophyta, Magnoliopsida, Ericales, Ebenaceae. The record is from RefSeq and is a predicted model, not a curated record.
CUGUCGCCGAACAACACGCUCCGAACAACCCACCGCCGAACAAUUGGCUCGUCGUCGCCGAUGGAUCUGCAGCUCGUCGCCGCCGCCGCCACGUCUGCAACAGUUCCGCCGCAUCUGCAACUUGUCGUCUCCGGCCGAUUUCCUCAUCCGCCGUGUCUAGUCGUCCUCUUCCGGCAUUGUGGGAGAGAGAAAGCGAGGCAGACUUGGGCGAAAUCGAUCGCCAACUGUGGCGACGAUUUUGGGCUUCGCCAAAACUUUGGCGAUGAUGAGCACCGUUGGAGGUCUCCAAAACCGGUUGGAUCGCUAUUGAUUUGGCUUGACGAGCAGAUUGGCGACCUGUUGGAGUCAGAUCAACAAUCUCCUUGUCUCUACAUCAUCUCGUCAAUCGAUCUCCAUCCCUCUUUAGGUUGGACAAUCGUCCAAAUCCAAUCCGCACUAAAACAACGGGUGUACCGUUACUUAUUCCUUACUUCUGCUUUAGUGUUUACUGGUGCAAUAAUUUCGUGUUGCUUGGAUUUCAUCAAUUUCUAAUGUAUUUGAGUGAAAGGGUUUCUAUGUGUGAGUGAAAGUGUUUCAAUUGAUUGGAACACAUACAGAUGUUUGUUAUAUCAAUUGAUUGGAAUUUUUUGGAACAAAUCUGAAUCUCCAACGGGCGGUUAUUCUGCUCGCCAAAGCAUGGAAUAGGGAGCCCAUGCUCUUCCGCUGUGGCUCGAGUCUUGGUACUCUUUUUUUUCUGCUAUAAAAAUUAGGUUAUGUCCGUCAGAUGAGUUUAACGAUUCCUGAUUGGGUAAAGACGCUGCCAGCCCCCUGUACUUUUCGUUAAAUUUGUGCACUUCAGCAGGACCUAUUGUGUCCCUCUAAGAUACAAUUUGGGAUUCAUUGUGUCCUCAUUCUCUGCGUGCCAUACACGAGCUCUGCCUUCUCUGCCACUGACCGCCGCUAUCAUCGCCACCGCCGUCGACUGCGCCUGUCGCCGUCAACCGCACCGCCAUUAGUGGCCGACGCCGCCGCUAUCGUCGCCGUCAUUGCUGCGUCCGGUCGUCUUCUUCAGCGAGAUCUGGGCGACCCUUCGUCUUCUCCGAUUAUCGCAGCAGCCGCCUCGCCGUUUGCCCCUUCGCCGGUCGUUUCUUCCUCGCCAUCGCCGUCCGCCGCCCCCGUCGCAGACCGCCUCUUUCCCCGCCGAUCGCCUUUGUUUUGUUCGGUCAAGCUUCGCCUCCGUCGCCUCUGCCAGUCACCGACGACUAUUGCUUCCCCUCCCUCCGUUGGUCGAUCUCGCAUCGCCGGUCCUUUGGGACUCAUACUCGCCGGACGUCUGUCCAUUGUCGCCGUCAAUCGCUGCCCAUCCAGCCCUUCGUCCGCCAUUAACGAGCUAGCUGCCCAGAUGAAGGAGAGGGUAAUUUUGUAAAUUAAGAAAUAGUGUGAGGGCAAAAUUGGCAGUUGCAGGGAUUCCUUUCAUUUCUCACGCGCCUCAAUUGCGCGUUAUUCCACACGCAUUGCUGACUGGAUUAUGAUGGGGCUGAUGGGUCUAAAUUAAAAGUUGGUGCCUAAUAGGCUCCAAAUUAGAAGUUGAGGGGGGCACAUAGGUGCUCUUUGCUUAAACAGAAAAAGAUAGUCAUAUCCCGUUUGGAACGCUAGACAAAGCGUUCUCGUAGAGUUCAGCGAAGAGAAAAUUUGAUUACUGAGAGAAUUUCGCCGCUACUCUUUCGUCUCGGCUUGUCAACAAUGUCCGGUUAUAUAAAUGUCGAACUGCCACUGGAUAAAUUGUCUUUCGGCUUUGCAGAACCAGAAGAAUCAUCAAAAAAGGGAUCCGAGGACAAGAAGUAUGUAGUUCUUGUAUCGACUGGAAGUUUCAAUCCUCCUACUUAUAUGCACUUGCGUAUUUUUGAGCUGGCUAGAGAUGCAUUAAACUCGGACGGAUUUUGUGUAAUUGGAGGUUACAUGUCUCCUGUCAAUGAUGCCUACAAGAAAAAGGGUCUUAUACCUGCUAAACAUCGUAUUGAAAUGUGUCGCCUAGCUUGCAGAAGUUCAGAGUUCAUAAUGGUGGAUCCCUGGGAGGCCAGUCAAGAUACCUUCCAACGCACGUUGACUGUUCUGUGUAGAAUCAGGACCUCAUUGAGUGAGGGUGAGAAGAUAUCUGGAGGACCUUUGAAGGUCAUGCUUGCUUGCGGCUCUGAUCUGCUAGAAUCUUUUAGCAUUCCUGGAGUCUGGAUUCCUGAGCAGGUAAGAGCCAUAUGUAGAGACUUUGGUAUAGUUUGCAUUCGUCGAGAAGGUCAAGACAUUGAGAGAACCAUCUCUAAUGAUGAGAUUUUAAAUGAGUACAGGAAUAACAUCAAAGUUGUGGAUGAACUUGUCCCAAACCACAUCAGUUCAACACGAAUAAGGGACUGCAUUUCGAGGGGGCGGUCAGUAAAAUAUUUAACAGCCAAUGAGGUGAUUGAUUAUAUCAAGCAGCAGCGUUUAUACUCCAACUCCUCUGACUAAUGGAUCCAAUCUGCAACAACUCUUUUUUAAGGAUCUCCACCAGCUUGUUAUUGAAGAGGCGGUUCUUAAAUUAAGGUAAUCAAUCUGAUGUGUGUUUUUCAGGCUCUGGAUGGGAGUGGCCAGCAAAAUUAGUCCUUAAAUUGAUUAUGAUUGCACCAUCUUAUUAUUUUUUUUAAAUCAGUUAAUAAACUUUCUUGAAACAACUCUGUAUUCUAAUGGGUGUCAUGUCGAUUUUAAAUAAGUAUGAGAAUUUAGUGAUAAUUUUUUGGGCA